Molecule: ribosomal RNA, 404 nt
Filed under: uncultured bacterium
Lineage: Bacteria
Description: bacterial SSU rRNA
Rfam family: Bacterial small subunit ribosomal RNA
Source: RNAcentral
UGGGGAAUAUUGGACAAUGGGCGCAAGCCUGAUCCAGCAAUGCCGCGUGUGUGAAGAAGGUCUUCGGAUUGUAAAGCACUUUCGACGGGGACGAUGAUGACGGUACCUGUAGAAGAAGCCCCGGCUAACUUCGUGCCAGCAGCCGCGGUAAUACGAAGGGGGCUAGCGUUGCUCGGAAUGACUGGGCGUAAAGGGCGCGUAGGCGGUUUAGACAGUCAGAUGUGAAAAUCCGGGGCUCAACCCUGGGACGGCACUUGAUACGUUUAGGCUAGAGUGUGAGAGAGGGUUGUGGAAUUCCCAGUGUAGAGGUGAAAUUCGUAGAUAUUGGGAAGAACACCGGUGGCGAAGGCGGCAACCUGGCUCACUACUGACGCUGAGGCGCGAAAGCGUGGGGAGCAAACAGG